AUGUUAUCAAUUUAUUUAACUCUGAGGUUUAUACAGCACUUUCAUUUCCCUGCUUAGAGAGGAAGGGAGGGCGAGCAUUAUGACUUUCAUGUUACAUAUGAAGAAACUAAGCUUCAGAGAGGUUAGGACACUUGCCAAAGUUUAUAUGGCUCAUAAGUGGCAGAGUUGGAUGAGGAGGGAGGUAUUUCCUGAUUUCAUCCGGUGGUCAUUCUGUCACACUCUCAUGGCCUAGUGUUAGCAAGCAGGAAGAAAAAGAAAAGCAAGGGUUAGGACUGAUGGAUACUGACUAGGUUAACCCAGCUCCCCAAAAAGCAACACAGUUGGAAAAGAAAGACCUCUCCAUUUUUAUAUGUUUUAAAGCCCUCACCAGUGUCAUAUGGAAUGAAAAAUUAAUGAGCACCUGUAAAAGAUUUCAUUGCCCAGCUCCCUGGAGCCACAAUUUAAAGGUAAUGUUAUUUUCUAUAUUAAUAGCCAUUCCCAAUGAUGUUUCUUUUUACAUUAAUGCAGAUGCCAGGUAAUUUGGAAGAGACCAAAUAGACCAGGAGGAGCAACUCAGAUUGCUCACUCAGCAGCCCUCUAAUUUGAAAAGAGAGCUUUAGGAGCAGAGACUUCCCCUGGGACUCCCCCCAGGGUCAUUAGAUGCACACAAGCUACUCCUUAAAAAUAACAUCCCUAUUUCUUCUCCUCCGGAAAAAACUUGUGCCCCGGUAACUGUAGAAUAGAAUUCCAUUAUCGCAAUACUCCCACUGAGUUUCUCUUCCACUGCUCAUUUCUCAGACGUUUUCCUUAAACAUGACUGCUUGCUCCAGCACCGAUGAGGGAGGAGGAUGAAACAGUCUGCUCAUAAAAUGGCAAUGAUCAUCAUCUUGGUGAUUUCAGAUGAAGAAUGGAAAUGUCCUCAAUCUGAGAUCCGAGCUUAGUAUUUAGAGACAUCCUGAAGAAUUGCUCACCUUUUCAAGUCCUGUCCUCAUUCUGGAAGAGCUCAGGCUGCAACACUCUCUUGUAACCUUCAGCCUGACCUCCUUCAAAGAAGGAGAACCUUCUGAAUGUUCCCAGAUUCAUUGCCAUCCGCCCCCACCCUGCUUUUCUGACCAGAAACAUAAUUACUUCUCAGAGCAUAAAACAAAGGAAAUGCAUGGGUGUCUUUUCUGACACUGGUUUGAAGUUACUCUGAUAAAUUAGCCUAAAUUUGCACAGAGUUUCUCAAACGCAGUGAAUAUUUCAUGUUGAAUUCUUGUUGGGCCUUCAUAUGUGCCUGCCCCUUUCCUGUCAGUCUCUUGGUCUUUGAAGCACAACACCGUGGAGAAUUCAGGGACUAGCUAUAGAAAUAACAGACUUCAAAUAUUCCCAGUAAUACUGGCACAUCUGUCUGUCUGUCUGCCUAUCUAUCAUCUAUCUAUCAUUUACAUGCAUUGCCCUACAAAUAUGUACUACUAAGUACACAAAAUGCAUUUAAACACAUACAUAGACGAUGCAAAGUAAAAGAUGCUAUGAUUAUGAAUAGGGGUUGUAUUUUUCCUUUACUUGAAAGAAUCAUCUGAGGUUCUUCCUUAACCAAAGUUUUAAAGUUCUCUUAUGAAGCCCCUGGACUAACCAUCAUGUUCUACUCACCAUUUUCUCUCUCACAGUCCUUUAGGAUAUGGUGGGGAGAGUGAUCUUAAAGUUCUUAACCUGAACUAUUUCCACUUGAUUGUUACCUGGGCAGCAAAAUGAGCCAGACAUAUGGCUGGUGACAGGGUCUCAUGUUCCCAAACACAUCAGGCAAAGAACAGUGUGGUGGAGACCCAGUGAUCUUUCCCUCUAAGUCAUGUCUCCAGUGAAUGUCUGUAUGUCCUGAUUUAAGUGCUCUUAUAUAAAAUCACUUUGAAACACAGAAAAUAGACAAGAAAAAAAUAUUACUCUUGCCAACAUGAUAAUCUUAAAAAUCAAUCCUAAAAAGUAAGUUGUUAAGAACAAGUUUUCACUCUUGUUCUUACUCUCUUAAUAGAAGACAGGGAAACAGUCAAUAUUAUACCAUAUGUUAAAAAGAUUUCCAAAAAUAUAAAGCAGUGCCACUCUUCUCACUACUUUUUGUGUUAUUCUGGAAAAGUACUGUCAUUUUUUCAUAUGAAGUAUCAUAUUUAUGUUACUAUGUAAUGAUUUUUAUUGUUAUUUUGAAUGAAUUAGUAAAUUAACAACUAUUCACAGUUUUGUUAAAUAUUCACAAUUUUGUUUUCCGUUAUGGUCAAGCUUGAUAGAUAUAGUGCCUGUAAACAAAAGAUUCAUACUCUCAAAAAUUUUUAAGAGUGUAAAGGAUCCUGAGACCAAAAAGUUUGUGCAACUCUUUAGGGAGUAAAAGAAAGCAGGAUGGAUCCUUCCCAUUUGGAGCUUAGACUGAAUUACCUCAGGCAGCCCGGAAAUACUCAUUCCCUUCCAUGCACCACCCACUAUCACGGGGGCUGGAAGCCUGAGAACUCAUUUCCCAGAAUCCCUUGCCAGGAAGGCUUCAGAUUAGAUUCUGCCAAUGAGACACAUUCUCACAAGAUGUAGAAAAUAGACCCAAGCCGAAAAGCGACUCCAUGGGCAGGUGUCUGGGCUUUAGCAGAUGGGAGAUUUUUCAGCAGCUCUUGGUGUUGCUAUAGUCAUGGGUUUUGGGAUUCAGGCCGCCGUGAUUAUUACCAAUCAUUUCCUGUGAUUCCAGAAAGUUCUCAACUCUCUUGAAGCUAAUGGCAAACUUUAAUUUUUCUCCUCCCACCAUUUCAACAUUUUUGUAACCCUCGAAUUCCCUUACUUAUAUCUCUUUCUAUUGAAAACACCUCAAGAGGUUGUGUUUUUCUGAACCAUCUUCCUUUGUCACUGGAGUAUCAAAAGCCAAAUGAACAAAUAAAUUACAAAAUGCAGGCAAACUGUGAUUAAGUACCCCAAGAGAAAUAAAAAGAGUGCUGUAAUAUAGGCUAAGAAUUGACACUUUGUUUUAGGUUAAAAUAAAAUGUAUACAUGAGAAUUGUAUAAUCUGUUCAUUUAUGGUGCUGAUUCUUUAUUCGUUUUUGGUUUUCUAAGAAGACAUUUGGUUUGUUUUUUUUUUUUUUUUAAGUUUCCAGUUAUGAGGAAAUAAAACCAUAAAAUAAUAUUAGAAAUAUGACAUUGACUUUAAGAAAUUAAUACCAGUGUUCCUUGUCACAAUGAUUUGUUAAUGUGUUAUAAAAUUUUACAGACCCUUACCAUAUGGAAAUGUUUUGCACAGAAAUUCUUGGAAACGUAAUUUAGAAUCUUGUUACAGAGAAGCUUCAUAUAAAACAUUGAUUUGGUGAUAUGAUGAGUGAAAAGCAAAAUUUCCAUUAAUUUUUAUUUUAAUUUCUGAGAAAAUUUCUGCUUCAUUACCACUUCUGGAAAUAGCAGCACAAGCUAAGUCCUCUGAAACACAAUUUCUAGUGAGUGGAACAAAAACUUUAGACUGCUGAAAUGAAAUAUAUCAGACCUCAGCUUUGCAAAAAUAAGUGAUGUUCACCAUCAGUAAUUGAUUUAAUUAUUUUUACCGAAGUUGCAAGGAAGCCAGAUGUUGCAAUUAUAUUCAUCAGAUAAAAUGGAUGCUGUGUGUGUGUGUGUGUGUGUGUGUGUGUGUGUGUGUGUGUGUGUAGAUCUCCCUGAAACUUGGUGCUGCCUUCUUAGGUCUUUAAGAUAAAAAAGGAUGUGUCAGGAGUUCCCAUUGUAGCUCAGUGGCUUAAGGACCUGGCUUUGUCUCCAUAAGGAUGUGAGUUCGAUCCCUGGCUUCGCUCACUGUGUUAAGGACCUGGUGUUGCCACAAGGUACAGUGUAGUAGCUUGGAUGUGGCUUGGAGCCAGUGUCACUGUGGCUGUGGUGGAGGCUUGCAGCUGCAGCUCCAAUUCGCCCCCUGACCUGGGAACUUCCAUAUGCUGCAGGUGCAGCUGUAAAAAGGGAAAAAAAAGGAUGGAGCAUGGAGAUACACAGGUUUUUCUUUAGAAACAGCCUUAGAAGUCAAAUACCAAAUCAGUUCAUUUUCCAGAUUUCAAAAACUGCCAGAGCUAGUGACUAUUCCAAGGGCACACCCAGAAUGCAGCUACUGUCCCCAUUCUAGAGCAGUCACUGGAGCCCAAGACCCACUAACCAUGGGAAUGUAUACAACCACUAUGGAAAACAGUAUGGAGGUACCUCAGAAAACUAAAUAUAGAACUACCAUAUGAUUCAGCAGUCCCCAAUCUUGGGCAUUUUUCCAGACAAAACUUUCAUUGAAAAAGAUACAUGCACCUUAUGUUCAUUGCAGUACUGUUCACAAUAGCCGAGACAUGGAAUCAGCCUAAAUGUCCAUCAACAGAUGAAUGGAUUAAAAAGAUGUGGUACAUAUACACAAUGGAAUACUACUCAGCCAUAAGAAAGAACAAAAUAAUGCCAUUUGCAGCAACAUGAAUGGAAGAGACUCUCAUACUAGGUGAAGUAAGUCAGAAAGAGAAAGACAAAUACCAUAUGCUAUCACUUAUAUCUGGAAUCUAAUAUCUAGCACCAAUGAACCUGUCUACAGAACAGAAGCAAACUCAUGGACAUGGAGAACACACUUGUGAUUGCUAAGGGGGAGGAAGUGGGAUGGACUGGAAGUCUGAGGUUAGUAGAUGCAAACUAUUGCAUCUGGAGUGGAUAAUCAAUGAGAUCCUGUUGUAUAGCACAGGGAACCAUAUCUAGUCACUUGUGAUGGAGCAUGAGGAUAAUGUGAAAAAAA
Molecule: long non-coding RNA, 4711 nt
Filed under: Sus scrofa (pig)
Lineage: Eukaryota; Metazoa; Chordata; Mammalia; Artiodactyla; Suidae
Description: lncRNA (ENSSSCG00000060695.1)
Source: RNAcentral